CGCGUAGGCGGGGGACCAAGUCCGGGGUGAAAUCUUUCGGCUCAACCGGAAAACUGCCUUGGAUACUGGUCUUCUCGAGGGAGGUAGGGGCAGGUGGAACUUCCGGUGGAGCGGUGAAAUGCGUUGAUAUCGGAAGGAACGCCGGUGGCGAAAGCGACCUGCUGGAUCUCUUCUGACGCUGAUGCGCGAAAGCUAGGGGAGCGAACG
RNAcentral lists this ribosomal RNA (207 nucleotides) under uncultured bacterium. RNAcentral's name for it is "partial 16S ribosomal RNA". It matches the Rfam family "Bacterial small subunit ribosomal RNA", at positions 568 to 774 of the family's 1533-position model. The record is from RNAcentral.